UCGGGAAUUUUGGGCAAUGGGGGAAGCCCUGACCCAGCAACGCCGCGUGAAGGAUGAAGUAUUUCGGUAUGUAAACUUCGAAAGAAUAGGAAGAAUAAAUGACGGUACUAUUUAUAAGGUCCGGCUAACUACGUGCCAGCAGCCGCGGUAAUACGUAGGGACCAAGCGUUGUUCGGAUUUACUGGGCGUAAAGGGCGCGUAGGCGGCAAUUCAAGUCAUCUGUGAAAUCUCCGGGCUUAACUCGGAACGGUCAGAUGAUACUGCUUUGCUAGAGUGCAGAAGGGGCAAUCGGAAUUCUUGGUGUAGCGGUGAAAUGCGUAGAUAUCAAGAGGAACACCUGAGGUGAAGACGGGUUGCUGGGCUGACACUGACGCUGAGGCGCGAAAGCCAGGGGAGCAAACAGGAUUAGAUACCCUAGUAGUCCCUGAGCGGGCUGGCAAGGCGCAU
This 447-nucleotide ribosomal RNA is filed under the name uncultured bacterium. RNAcentral's name for it is "bacterial SSU rRNA". It matches the Rfam family "Bacterial small subunit ribosomal RNA", at positions 355 to 825 of the family's 1533-position model. The record is from RNAcentral.